RNAcentral lists this long non-coding RNA (307 nucleotides) under Capsicum annuum. RNAcentral's name for it is "long non-coding RNA (CANN_LNC005643)". The record is from RNAcentral. Lineage: Eukaryota; Viridiplantae; Streptophyta; Magnoliopsida; Solanales; Solanaceae.
UUUUGACCCGACCAUUAUUCAAAGAAAGAAACAGAAGGAAGAAGGACAAUCGGGUCUUGACUUAAGACAUCCUUCCUACCCAAAUUAUGAGAGAAUCAAGUCACGGGUAUUUCAAAGGAUUGGAAGAGGUGGACUAUACCGAGUUGGAGAGUCGAGUGAGGUUCCAUCGAGGUUCCGGUCCACAACUCUGUCAUUACAUCAAAAUGAAAAUUACAAGUUAAAACAUAAAUGAAAUUAUGAAAAUCCUAUCUAUACAGCUUUUGUUGGUUCUUGACUCGACUUUCAUCACCCUAUUCUUCAGGCGGGC